Non-coding RNA from Bos taurus (domestic cattle), 72 nucleotides. NCBI's taxonomy places the organism in Eukaryota, Metazoa, Chordata, Mammalia, Artiodactyla, Bovidae. The record is from Rfam.
UCCCUGGUGGCUCAAUGGUAAAGAAUCUGCCUGCCAAUGCAGAAGACCUGGGUUCCAUCCCUGGCUUGGGAA